RNAcentral lists this ribosomal RNA (482 nucleotides) under uncultured bacterium. Its description in RNAcentral is "partial 16S ribosomal RNA". It matches the Rfam family "Bacterial small subunit ribosomal RNA", at positions 30 to 507 of the family's 1533-position model. The record is from RNAcentral.
AUUGAACGCUGGCGGCAUGCUUUACACAUGCAAGUCGAACGGUAACAGGCCGCAAGGUGCUGACGAGUGGCGAACGGGUGAGUAAUGCAUCGGAACGUGCCCAGUCGUGGGGGAUAACUACUCGAAAGAGUAGCUAAUACCGCAUACGAUCUAUGGAUGAAAGCGGGGGACCGUAAGGCCUCGCGCGAGUGGAGCGGCCGAUGUCAGAUUAGGUAGUUGGUGGGGUAAAGGCUCACCAAGCCAACGAUCUGUAGCUGGUCUGAGAGGACGACCAGCCACACUGGGACUGAGACACGGCCCAGACUCCUACGGGAGGCAGCAGUGGGGAAUUUUGGACAAUGGGCGCAAGCCUGAUCCAGCAAUGCCGCGUGCAGGAAGAAGGCCUUCGGGUUGUAAACUGCUUUUGUACGGAACGAAACGGCUCUGGUUAAUACCCGGGGCUAAUGACGGUACCGUAAGAAUAAGCACCGGCUAACUACGUG